Molecule: ribosomal RNA, 210 nt
Filed under: uncultured bacterium
Lineage: Bacteria
Description: partial 16S ribosomal RNA
Rfam family: Bacterial small subunit ribosomal RNA
Source: RNAcentral
CGCGCAGGCGGUCGUUCAAGUCGCGUGUGAAAGCCCCCGGCUCAACUGGGGAGGGUCACGCGAUACUGAUCGACUCGAAGGCAGGAGAGGGUAGUGGAAUUCCCGGUGUAGUGGUGAAAUGCGUAGAUAUCGGGAGGAACACCAGUGGCGAAGGCGACUACCUGGCCUGUUCUUGACGCUGAGGCGCGAAAGGCUAGGGGAAGGCAAACG